Molecule: ribosomal RNA, 232 nt
Filed under: Alaria alata
Lineage: Eukaryota; Metazoa; Platyhelminthes; Trematoda; Diplostomida; Diplostomidae
Description: partial 18S ribosomal RNA
Rfam family: Eukaryotic small subunit ribosomal RNA
Source: RNAcentral
GGUAACUCCAGCUCCAAAAGCGUAUAUUAAAGUUGCUGCAGUUAAAAAGCUCGUAGUUGGAUCUGGGUCGUGCGUUCACAUGUUGUUGCUUGGUUCUGAUUUCGGUCAGUUUCAGGUGAUGAUAAAGUGGGCGUGCAGCCUUUCAGCCGUGUCUGCGUAAGCAGGUGUUGGCUGGCUGGUGAGCUUGCUCGCUGGCUAGUUGACAUGUUUCCUGAUGCCUUUAAACGGGUGU